GAUGAACGCUAGCUACAGGCUUAACACAUGCAAGUCGAGGGGAAACGAUAUUGGAAGCUUGCUUCCGAUAGGCGUCGACCGGCGCACGGGUGAGUAACGCGUAUCCAACCUGCCCACCACUUGGGGAUAACCUUGCGAAAGUAAGACUAAUACCCAAUGACGUCCAUAGAAGACAUCUGAAAUGGAUUAAAGAUUUAUCGGUGAUGGAUGGGGAUGCGUCUGAUUAGCUGGUUGGCGGGGUAACGGCCCACCAAGGCGACGCUCAGUAGGGGUUCUGAGAGUAAGGUCCCCCACAUUGGAACUGAGACACGGUCCAAACUCCUACGGGAGGCAGCAGUGAGGAAUAUUGGUCAAUGGGCGAGAGCCUGAACCAGCCAAGUAGCGUGCAGGAUGACGGCCCUAUGGGUUGUAAACUGCUUUUAUAAGGGAAUAAAGUGAGCCUCGUGAGGCUUUUUGCAUGUACCUUAUGAAUAAGGACCGGCUAAUUCCGUGCCAGCCGCCGCGGUAA
Molecule: ribosomal RNA, 508 nt
Filed under: uncultured bacterium
Lineage: Bacteria
Description: partial 16S ribosomal RNA
Rfam family: Bacterial small subunit ribosomal RNA
Source: RNAcentral